Molecule: unclassified non-coding RNA, 639 nt
Filed under: Bombus terrestris (buff-tailed bumblebee)
Lineage: Eukaryota; Metazoa; Arthropoda; Insecta; Hymenoptera; Apidae
Description: misc RNA ENSBTSG00005021031.1
Source: RNAcentral
UGCUUCCAAUCUGUCUGCACCCAUUUGAUACAGUAUUCGAUAUCCGAUUUGCGCGCUAUCAGAGCCCAAUACUUCAUCAGGUUGAUUGAAGAAUACCAAGCCAAGGAACAGAACCUCAGUCUCAAUAAAGGAUUCUUUUCUUCCAAUGUAAUGUAUAGCACACACUGUACUAUGGUGAAAAACGGCACAAGAUUACUGAAUCCGAUUACGACUUUUGGCAAAAAUUUGCCUAUGCCUUUUAACACAGUGGGCCAUACUCCGAUGCAAUUCAGAAUCCAUUUAUUGUGUUUCGUCACAUAAAUAAUGUCCUCCUUGUAGUUUGGAUUUUGCAAUUGAUCUGUCUGACGUCGAACGGAGAGAUGCAUAUUCGUGAACAGAUCGCAAACGACUGUUUACGACAGUUCAGGUGCAUCGAUUGUAAGGGCGAUGAGUUUGCGCUCGGGAUAUCGCGUGCAUGCAUUUCACGCAGCAAUUCAAAAUCGAUUAUUACUCAUCAAUGUAGCGAACGUCUGUAAUUAUAGUGAAUAACUAACUGGUAACGGGUAUAGAAUCUAACUUUCUGUCUAGAUCAGAGGCUUGAACCUUUCGAAGUUACGGAACAUAUUUGAUUAUGAGACAUUUGUGAAACAUUGAAAUCCC